This is a long non-coding RNA of Zingiber officinale, 1605 nucleotides long. RefSeq lists it as uncharacterized. The transcript has 2 exons. Lineage: Eukaryota; Viridiplantae; Streptophyta; Magnoliopsida; Zingiberales; Zingiberaceae. The record is from RefSeq and is a predicted model, not a curated record.
ACAAAGUUUUCUCUAGGCACCAUUCAUCCAUAGUUACUGUAUGUUAUGAUUUAUGCAUUUCCUUUCAUUUCAGACAUAAUAGAAUGUUAAAGUUGAUGUUUCAUGGUACUCCUUCCAUGUCAAGGCUGCCUAGGGUCCCCAAAAAUAUGCUAGAUUGCUGCCUGUGCCCAACCAGUAAGUUGGUUUGAGACAUACAUGCUAUUUUCUUGGGUAUGCAUGAUUAGGAUCUAGUCCAGGUGAUAGUCCACCGAGUUAGGAUUGUGUGGGUUCAAACGGAGGUCGAUUUGGCUUAGAAAUGAAUAAGUUAUGAAUUUAUUUGGUGAGUGUGCGCUGGUUUGCUGCCUGUGUACGACCAGUAAGUUGGUUUGAGUCGUACAUGCUGUUUUCAUGGGUCUUCACAGUUAGGAUCAAGUCCAGGUGAUAGUCCUUCGAGUUUGGAUCGUGUGGGUUCAAACAGAGGUCGAUUUAUCUUAGAAAUGAAUCAGUUAUGAAUUUAUUUUGUGAGUGUGUGCUGGUUUGAUGCCUGUGCACGACUAGUAAGUUGGUUUGAGUUGUACAUGUUGUUUUCUUGGUUUUGCAUGGUUAGGAUCAAUUCCAGGUGAUAGUCCUUCGAGUUAGGAUUGUGUGGGUUCAAACUGAGGCCGAUUUGACUUCGAAAUGAUUCAGGUAUGAAUUUAUUUGGUGAGGGUGCGCUGGUUUGCUGCCUGUGCGCGACCAGCAAGUUGGUUUGAGUUGUACAGGCUGUUUUCUUGGGUCUGCACGGUUAGGAUCAAGUCCAGGUGAUAGUCCUUCGAGUUAGGAUUGUGUGGGUUCAAACGGAGGUCGAUUUGGCUUCGAAAUGAAUCAGUUAUGAAUUUAUUUGGUGAGGGUACGCUGGUUUGCUGCCUGUGCACGACCAGCAAGUUGGUUUGAGUCGUACAUGCUGUUUUCUUGGGUCUUCACGGUUAGGCUAAAGUCCAGGUGAUAGUCCUUCGAGUUAGGGUCGUGUGGGUUUAAACGGGGUGUGAUUCGGCUUAGAAAUGAAUAAGUUAUGAAUUUUACGGUAAGACCACUCAACUGCGUAUUGUCAGGGCAGAAUUGAGCAAAACGAGUUUUCAGGUUCCUAAGGGCAGCCGAUUUACAUGGAAUAUUUUGAUUGUCAAGCAUGUCUUAUGAUGUUCCAGUAGUUAUUUCAAAACUUUAGUUUGAGAAAAAAAAAAGGUUUGAGAUUUGAGGCGAGGAAAAAUAAUUUUUUUGUUUGAUAAGGUGACAUGAAUGUAGUGUUCUUUGACGGAUAUGGGGCCAAGAGUCGUCUCGUUUAGCCAUAUCAAAUUGACACAGUGGACAUCAGACAAGCACCGGGGUGCCCUACACUUGACAGGAGAGCAUGAGCCAGAGGUAGAGGGGAAGGAUGCUUGAGCGGAUUGUAUUGUAGCAAGGCACUGAACCUAGUGACCCUUACGUUUUUCACAUGAUUUUCUUUUGGAGUUGUUGAGGGAGGUUAAAAUAAAAAGACAUGUUUUCUUUUGCUUCUUUACGGUUGUCGGAUUAGUUUGAGUUUUGACUGGUUCUACAUUGGGUUCAAAUACUUAUAAACUAAAUAAAUUAUUUUUAAAAUUGUUUUCA